Molecule: long non-coding RNA, 292 nt
Filed under: Manihot esculenta (cassava)
Lineage: Eukaryota; Viridiplantae; Streptophyta; Magnoliopsida; Malpighiales; Euphorbiaceae
Description: long non-coding RNA (MESC_LNC004712)
Source: RNAcentral
ACAGAUUUCAAAAGAUUUUCAUUGCUGGAUUUAGAAAUUUAGAGUGUAUGUUUCGAAUCUGGUGUCUUUUAGACUAUGAACCAGACCUAGAUUAAUAAGACUUAACAUACAGAGUAAUUGGUGAAACUUUUGUUUCUAUGAACCAAAACUCUUUUUUGUAUGUUAAUUUCUCAUCAAUCUCAUAACACUCCAUAGAUCUUGUUGUCAACGCCGUUUUGCGCUAAUAGGCCAUGCGCGCGCUUGGUAGUUCAUAAGUGCUCUAGAGAUUAUGCCACAAUCUCAUAGAAGCGGC